AAAAUUCAAGAGAAAUUUUUGGAUUUCAAGGAAUCAAGCAAGUAAAGGUAAGAUUUUUAAUUUUAGCUGGUGAUCUACCUUUCCCAUGCACUCUUUUUCAUUCUCCAUGGCUGAAAUUCAAGUUUUCAAGAGGGAACCUUUGCUGGCCAAAUCUAGAAAGAGAAGUUUUGGUGAUGAAUUUUGCUAGAUUUCAUAAUAUCCUAGUGUUUUUAGUCAUUUUGUGAUGUUUGGAAGGAAAAACAAGCAAGAAAAUCACAUGCCCUUCAAUAACCCUCUUUGGCCGAAUUUAUUAGGUGACAUGUUGAUGAUGGAUUUUGUUGUAUUUCAUGUUAAUUAGCUCGUAAUUAAUGAUUUAUGGUAUCGGAUAUCGAAAUCAAAAUGAAUUUCGGUUACGGUGAAUUAAGUCAUAAUUAAGCUCAUUCAGGUACUUUGGUGUAUUUGGAAUAUUGGAAGUGUAAUGAAGAUAUUUGGAGUUGAAUUGGAUGUUUUGGCUAAUUAAACCUGGCAUAGUACGAGUUAGGUCAAAUGCAAUUCAGUCCGAUCAUAAUUGAACCCACGUAGAAUAUCGUCUUUAAGUGAUUAUUCGGACAAUUCUCAUUCAAUGUCAUGCAUUCAUAUAGAGCCUAAAAUAGUUUUAUAACAGUUUGGCACAAAUAUAUUAAAUUACGUGUCACGUGUUAUGUAUAGGUGGUGAGCCCUUUGAUAAGGGUAAAGAUAUUGUGCCCGACGACCAAGAAUAGGAGUACUCCAAACUCCUGCUAUUAUGAGUAAUCAAAUGUUCAUCUUAACUAUCUAAAGUAGUUUAUAUUCAUUUUUUUAUGAUUUUAAAGAAUAAUGAACUUAAACCGU
Molecule: long non-coding RNA, 849 nt
Filed under: Theobroma cacao (cacao)
Lineage: Eukaryota; Viridiplantae; Streptophyta; Magnoliopsida; Malvales; Malvaceae
Description: long non-coding RNA (TCAC_LNC002377)
Source: RNAcentral